This 354-nucleotide ribosomal RNA is filed under the name Triticum aestivum (bread wheat). RNAcentral describes it as "partial small subunit ribosomal RNA". Lineage: Eukaryota; Viridiplantae; Streptophyta; Magnoliopsida; Poales; Poaceae. The record is from RNAcentral.
AUGGCCAAUUGCGGGGGAGCACGACAAACGGUGGAUCACCACGAGGGGGCAAGUGCUGACAUGGGGAGGGAAGACGGAACUAAGGGGAACGAGGACAAUGAAGAUGAUGAAGAACAAGAGGAUGACGAAAAAGAAGAGGAUGAAGGAAAGGAGGACGAUGACGAUGAAGAAGGCAAUGGGAAUGAUAAAGACAAGGAAGAUGAUGGGCAGGGGAAGCAGGAUGAAGAUGAUGAAGAUGACAGCGGAGGUGGCAACGGUGGUUCAGGCAGCACGGUGGCUCCGGUCGGGAUGAGGAUCCCGCAGCUGAAAACCCAAGUAGCGAUGAUGAUGAACAAUGCACGAUGCAAUUUCUGA